GACGAACGCUGGCGGCGUGCUUAACACAUGCAAGUCGAACGGAAAGGCCCUGCUUUUGUGGGGUGCUCGAGUGGCGAACGGGUGAGUAACACGUGAGUAACCUGCCCUUGACUUUGGGAUAACUUCAGGAAACUGGGGCUAAUACCGGAUAGGAGCUCCUGCUGCAUGGUGGGGGUUGGAAAGUUUCGGCGGUUGGGGAUGGACUCGCGGCUUAUCAGCUUGUUGGUGGGGUAGUGGCUUACCAAGGCUUUGACGGGUAGCCGGCCUGAGAGGGUGACCGGCCACAUUGGGACUGAGAUACGGCCCAGACUCCUACGGGAGGCAGCAGUGGGGAAUAUUGCACAAUGGGCGGAAGCCUGAUGCAGCAACGCCGCGUGCGGGAUGACGGCCUUCGGGUUGUAAACCGCUGUCGCCUGUGACGAAGCGUGAGUGACGGUAAUGGGUAAAGAAGCACCGGCUAACUACGUG
RNAcentral lists this ribosomal RNA (468 nucleotides) under uncultured bacterium. RNAcentral's name for it is "partial 16S ribosomal RNA". It matches the Rfam family "Bacterial small subunit ribosomal RNA", at positions 28 to 507 of the family's 1533-position model. The record is from RNAcentral.